GACGAACGCUGGCGGCGUGCUUAACACAUGCAAGUCGAACGGAAAGGCCCUGCUUUUGUGGGGUGCUCGAGUGGCGAACGGGUGAGUAACACGUGAGUAACCUUGCCUUGACUUUGGGAUAACUUCAGGAAACUGGUGCUAAUACCUGAUAGGAGCUCCUGCUGCAUGGUGGGGGUUGGAACGUUUCGGCGGUUGUGGAUGGACUCGCGGGUUAUCAGCUUGUUGGUGGGGUAGUGGCUUACCAAGGCGUUGACGGGUAGCCGGCCUGAGGGGGUGAUCGGCCACAUUGAGACUGAGGGAAGGCCCAGACUGCGACGGGAGGAAGCAGGGGGGAAUAUUGAACAAUGGGCGGAGGCCGGAUGCAGAAGGGCCGCGUGCGGGAUGACGGUCUUAGUGGGGUGAACCGGUUUCGAGUGUGACGAAGCGUGAGUGACGGUAAUGGGUAAAGAAGCACCGGGUAAAUACGGGC
Molecule: ribosomal RNA, 469 nt
Filed under: uncultured bacterium
Lineage: Bacteria
Description: partial 16S ribosomal RNA
Rfam family: Bacterial small subunit ribosomal RNA
Source: RNAcentral